Molecule: ribosomal RNA, 497 nt
Filed under: uncultured bacterium
Lineage: Bacteria
Description: partial 16S ribosomal RNA
Rfam family: Bacterial small subunit ribosomal RNA
Source: RNAcentral
GAUGAACGCUGGCGGCGUGCCUAAUACAUGCAAGUCGAGCGAACAGACGAGGAGCUUGCUCCUCUGACGUUAGCGGCGGACGGGUGAGUAACACGUGGAUAACCUACCUAUAAGACUGGGAUAACUUCGGGAAACCGGAGCUAAUACCGGAUAAUAUAUUGAACCGCAUGGUUCAAUAGUGAAAGACGGUUUUGCUGUCACUUAUAGAUGGAUCCGCGCCGCAUUAGCUAGUUGGUAAGGUAACGGCUUACCAAGGCAACGAUGCGUAGCCGACCUGAGAGGGUGAUCCGCCACACUGGAACGGAGACACGGUCCAGACUCCUACGGGAGGCAGCAGUAGGGAAUCUUGCGCAAUGGGCGAAAGCUUGACGGAGCAACGCCGCGUGAGUGAUGAAGGUCUUCGGAUCGUAAAACUCUGUUAUUAGGGAAGAACAAAUGUGUAAGUAACUAUGCACGUCUUGACGGUACCUAAUCAGAAAGCCACGGCUAACUACGUG